GCCAGGCGCAGUAGAGCAUGCCUGUAAUCCCAGUGCUCAGGAGGCUGAGACAGGAGGAUCGAGAGUUCAAGGCCAGUCUCAGCAAAGUGAGGUACUGAGCAACUCAGUGAGAUCCUGUCUCUA
RNAcentral lists this small RNA (123 nucleotides) under Marmota monax (woodchuck). The record is from RNAcentral. Lineage: Eukaryota; Metazoa; Chordata; Mammalia; Rodentia; Sciuridae.